Molecule: ribosomal RNA, 1286 nt
Filed under: metagenome
Description: bacterial SSU rRNA
Rfam family: Bacterial small subunit ribosomal RNA
Source: RNAcentral
UAGCUAGUUGGUGAGGUAAAGGCUUACCAAGGCGACGAUCUGUAGCGGGUCUGAGAGGAUGAUCCGCCACACUGGAACUGAGACACGGUCCAGACUCCUACGGGAGGCAGCAGUGGGGAAUUUUGGACAAUGGGGGCAACCCUGAUCCAGCCAUGCCGCGUGAGUGAAGAAGGCCUUCGGGUUGUAAAGCUCUUUCGGCCGGGAAGAAAUCGCAUGGGCCAAUACCCUGUGUGGAUGACGGUACCGGAAUAAGAAGCACCGGCUAACUACGUGCCAGCAGCCGCGGUAAUACGUAGGGUGCGAGCGUUAAUCGGAAUUACUGGGCGUAAAGCGUGCGCAGGCGGUUUUGUAAGACAGGCGUGAAAUCCCCGGGCUUAACCUGGGAACUGCGUUUGUGACUGCAAGGCUAGAGUACGGCAGAGGGGGGUGGAAUUCCACGUGUAGCAGUGAAAUGCGUAGAGAUGUGGAGGAACACCAAUGGCGAAGGCAGCCCCCUGGGUCGAUACUGACGCUCAUGCACGAAAGCGUGGGUAGCAAACAGGAUUAGAUACCCUGGUAGUCCACGCCCUAAACUAUGUCAACUAGGUGUUGGGUGGGUAAAACCAUUUAGUACCGUAGCUAACGCGUGAAGUUGACCGCCUGGGGAGUACGGCCGCAAGGUUAAAACUCAAAGGAAUUGACGGGGACCCGCACAAGCGGUGGAUGAUGUGGAUUAAUUCGAUGCAACGCGAAAAACCUUACCUACCCCUGACAUGCCAGGAACUUGCCAGAGAUGGCUUGGUGCCCGAAAGGGAGCCUGGACACAGGUGCUGCAUGGCUGUCGUCAGCUCGUGUCGUGAGAUGUUGGGUUAAGUCCCGCAACGAGCGCAACCCUUGUCGUUAAUUGCCAUCAUUUAGUUGGGCACUUUAACGAGACUGCCGGUGACAAACCGGAGGAAGGUGGGGAUGACGUCAAGUCCUCAUGGCCCUUAUGGGUAGGGCUUCACACGUUAUACAAUGGUCGGUACAAAGGGUUGCCAAGCCGCGAGGCGGAGCCAAUCCCAGAAAGCCGAUCGUAGUCCGGAUUGCAGGCUGCAACUCGCCUGCAUGAAGUCGGAAUCGCUAGUAAUCGUGGAUCAGCAUGUCACGGUGAAUACGUUCCCGGGUCUUGUACACACCGCCCGUCACACCAUGGGAGCGGGUUCCGCCAGAAGUAGGUAGCCUAACCGCAAGGAGGGCGCUUACACGGCGGGGUUCGUGACUGGGGUGAAGUCGGAACAAGGUAGCCGUAGGGGAACCUGCGGCUG